Molecule: ribosomal RNA, 996 nt
Filed under: Triticum aestivum (bread wheat)
Lineage: Eukaryota; Viridiplantae; Streptophyta; Magnoliopsida; Poales; Poaceae
Description: partial small subunit ribosomal RNA
Source: RNAcentral
AUGGCGGCUGAUGGUGGGCAUGGCGGUGGGAAUCACCCAUUGCGCCGGACAUCUCCAAUGUCUGGGUUCAUGUUACGUCGCUUUGUAGAGCUCAUUGCUAGUGGAGUGAAGACGGAAAAGGGCUUUAAGGAGGUGCACCUAAACCAGGUGGCUAAGAAUUGUAGUGAUCACUUUGGUGUUUCCAUAACCGAGACCCAAGUGUACAACCACCUCCACAAGUGGCGUGCUAGGUGGGUGAAGAUAAGUAGGCUCCGAGGCAUUAGUGGGUCACUUUGGGAUGAUAACAACUAUGUCAUAUUGCUGGAGAAAGAGCACUACAUGGGCCAUAUCAAGGACCAUCCCAAAGAUGUUGAGUACCUCAAUGUGCCUUUAGAGAAUUAUGUUCAGAUGCUUUCUAUCUUGGGAAGUGGUAUUGCUAUAGGAAGGUAUGCAAUGACAUCUAAUGAGGCUCUUGGGGUUCCUUCAAUGGUGGGAACCUCCUCAUCAUUUGUAAACCUUGAAGCUUGUGGUUCUGAAUUUGUUGUGGAUGGGAAUGAACCUAGCUUGAGUGCUACUGCUGCUGCUCAUGGGGAAACUGCUGCUGCUCCUCAUCAGAAGCAACCAUGUAAGGAUGCGUCUAGCUCCACUGGCAAAAGGAAGAGGGCUAGCUUGAUGAGUGAAGAAGAAGUCUUGGUCAUGAGCAACAUGUCUGAAGCAGUCCGUGAAGUUGCUAUUGCUAUCAAAGUGACCGGAGAGGCACAUCCUGAACUUUAUGAUGCUGUUAUGGAGCUCCCUGGUUUUACCGAGGAUGAUCUGUUAAUUUUCUUGGACUAUCUCAAUGAGAAUGCCAACAGGGCUAGGAGCCACUCAUUCGUGCAGAUGUCGGAGACUCGUCGCACUCAUUGGGUCAUGCACCACCUCUCCAAGGUCAACGGUGGAGUGCCCAUGCCCAAGCAAGGACUACCCAAGGAUGGAAUGCCUGUCACCAGCGAUGAAGUGCCCAAGGGUGGAGUGUGA